Molecule: transfer RNA, 73 nt
Filed under: Nematostella vectensis (starlet sea anemone)
Lineage: Eukaryota; Metazoa; Cnidaria; Anthozoa; Actiniaria; Edwardsiidae
Rfam family: tRNA
About the family: Transfer RNA (tRNA) molecules are approximately 80 nucleotides in length.
Source: Rfam by way of RNAcentral
UCCUGGGUAGUAUUGUUGUGAGUAUCCCCGCCUGUCACGCAGGAUAACCGGGGUUCAAUUCCCCGCCUGGGUU